Molecule: ribosomal RNA, 240 nt
Filed under: uncultured bacterium
Lineage: Bacteria
Description: partial 16S ribosomal RNA
Rfam family: Bacterial small subunit ribosomal RNA
Source: RNAcentral
GAUCAUGGCUCAGGAUGAACGCUAGCUAUAGGCUUAACACAUGCAAGUCGAGGGGAAACGGCAUUAUGUGCUUGCACAUUUUGGACGUCGACCGGCGCACGGGUGAGUAUCGCGUAUCCAACCUGCCCUUUACUUGGGGAUACCCCGUUGAAAGACGGCCUAAUACCCGAUGUAAUUCAUUGAUGGCAUCAGAUAUGAAUAAAAGAUUUAUCGGUAAAGGAUGGGGAUGCGUCUGAUUAG